Astyanax mexicanus (Mexican tetra) is the source of this 3935-nucleotide long non-coding RNA. RefSeq lists it as uncharacterized. NCBI's taxonomy places the organism in Eukaryota, Metazoa, Chordata, Actinopteri, Characiformes, Acestrorhamphidae. The transcript has 2 exons. The record is from RefSeq and is a predicted model, not a curated record.
CUACUUAGUUGAUUGCUUACUGUUGUAGUUAGCUAGCUACUUAGUUAAUUGGGUUAAGUAACUUAUUUAGCUAUAUAUUUAUUGAAUUACUUACUGUUUUAGUUAGCUAGCUACAUAGUUAGUUAGGUAGUUAGCUAUCUAUUUAUUUAAUUACUUACUGUAUUAGUUAGCUAGCUAUUUUGUUAGUUAGGUAGUUAGCUAUCUAUUUAGUAACUUACUGUAUUAGUUUGCUAGCUAUUUUGUUAGUUAGUUAGGUAGGUUAGGUAGUUAUAUAUGUACUUAAAUAAUUACUUACUUUAUUAGUUAGCUAGUUAGUUACAUACUUAGUUAGCUAUGUUAAUUAGCUGCCUACUUUGUUAAUUAGAUUAUUAAGGUUAGUUAGUUAGCUAUAUACUUUUAGUAUUAUCUAAUUUAUUAGUUAGCUAGAUAUUUUGUUAGUUAGGUUACUUAGUUAGCUAUCUGCUUAUUUAGUUAGCUACAUCCAAUAACAUACCUACUUUCUUAGUUUACUACUUACCUUGUUAGUUAUUUAGUUAGUCAGCUAGCAUGCUUUACAAUUUUAUUUGGACAACUUAGAUCUAUUGCCCUAUUUUGAAAAGGCUUUAAUGCUGUCUGACUUGCUAAUGUUAGUUUGUCACUUUAGAUUACAUUUUCAAAGAAAAAGUUAAUUAUUGAAGGUUAGAAUGAAAAAUUAAGGGCCAUCGUGCGCGUUGUUGAUCCAGGGCCAUCGUGCGCGUUGUUGAUCCAGGGUCAUCGUGCGCGUUGUUGAUCCAGGGCCAUCGUGCGCCUUGUUGAUCCAGGGCCAUCGUGCGCGUUGUUGAUCCAGUUAAUUGAUGCCUUGAUUUAUAUAAAAAAAAAAAAACUCUAGCAUGUGUGUGUUUGUUUUUACUAGUACUUUUUUAAAAGCUGGAAAAUUUAAUUCAAAUUUAAAUAUAAACAAAAUAAAAUUGUAUCUGGGCCUCCCUGGAAUAAUGCAUAGAUUGGUCACAGGCUGUCCUGUAAUAUCUAGGACCAAGAAGUUUGUAGAAGUUCUGUAAGUUUAUGAGGCUGACCUCACCAUCCUUAAUUUCGGUAACUUUGGGCAUCCAUGAUCCUGUUUUUAGGUCUAUGGUUGUCUUUCCAGGGAGCUCGUUUGUUAGGUUCUGACCACUGCAAAUUAGGAAAAUGCAACAAGACCUGCCUUGUGAUUUGGAGAUGUUUUGACCCAGCAGGCGGCUGUUUUAAUAUCUCAAUUCCAUUUGUCCUGCUUUUAACUCCUCAGCCUUAAGUUAACUAUUCACUCACUCCCUAUGUAAAUAUAUUUACCCAUUUGGCAUUAUGACCAGAUAAUAAAUGUUUGUUUAUUAAUAUCCUGAAGUUUUUCCACUGGUGAGCCAAAUAACCACAAAAAUCUUAUCAGGAUCAAGAUGCCAAAGCACAUACUUUUUACAGAUAUAUAAACACAGCAAAUAUUGCUUUUAAAUACAUAUGGGAGGAUAAUUGGAGCUUGUCUGGAAAAUGGGAACCACUGGAUACUUUUUGUGAGUUACAUUUAUAGAUACUUUAUUGACCCUGAAGGAAAUGCAUAUCCUAGCUUGUAGAACAAAAAGAUAAAUACACUCCAACAUAGUAUAGUAACUCUGUCACAGAUAGAACUGUAAUCUACCUCUCUGCUUAGAGCUUCUUAAAAGCUUGAUUUUAAGGUUUGUGUGGAUGUGAUUUUGAUUAUUUUUUAUUCCAAACCACAACCCAAUUAUAAUUGUAUAGACUUUUGCCAGAAGCAGACAUAUAUCCAAUAAAAUGUAAUGGAAUCAUUGUUGUCUGGAAGAAAUGUACAGCAGAGGCAUUUCUUUGUCUUAAAGGUAAAACAAUGUAAAGGCAAAAUGUACAACACGGUCCUUCAAGUCCAAUAUAUUAAGGUAUAUUACCUGUACCACAAAUGUUUAUACUACUUCCACUUUCUUUGAGAAAAGGAGCAUAUUCAUCCAUCUUAUUAUUUUAUUCUGUAUUCAGUGCACUAUUUACUCUAGUAUAAAGUCUAUAUGAACUGUGGUUUAAACAGCAGAUUAAAUGUAGGAAAUGUUUUAAAACAAAAGCUUCCUUCCACAUUGAAUAUUAAAACAUUAUCUAUCUUUCUUUUUAGUUUUAUGACAUUACACAGAGAAGAAUCAUUUACAUGAAUUCUAUGGGAGAGGAUAGAAAGACAGUUUUGAAAAACUGGAGGUGACGAAUACAAUUAUAUGCAUUAUAUUGCCAAAAGUAUCCAUUAUCCUGCAUUGCAUUUGGUGAUUAGGCUUGAAUGGAGCUGCUUGGUCAGGGAAACGCAUUCCAUGAAUUUCUCUGCUCUCUACUGUUCUUAAUCUAAUCUGAAUAAAGCUUUGCUUUCUUCACCUGUGGUCUGUGUGAAGUGAUAUAAUGAUUCUAGUUUCUUAUAUCUGUUUAGUUAACAGUGUAAUUGUUUAGCUUAUUUGCAUCAGCCAGAGGUUGCAAAGACAACUGGACAAUCUUCAGUGUCAAACAUCCACAACAGCAAGAUGGACACUCGUAUGGAGUACACGUGGUACAAUCAAUAAUUCUACUUUAUUCAUUUGUAUUUGAUGUAUUUCCUGUGUUCUAACAAUUGCAACUUUAACAGAAUUUUGUUUUCUUGCCUGAGAGCCUUCACGUUUUAAAUUUUUUUCUUUAGUCGUACGUUAACAUGACUGUUCUAUGUUUCUCUAAUACAUUGGUGCUGAUUUCUUCACAACGGAAUAAAAUAUUAAAAAUUGUUUGGGGGAAACCACACAACCAAAAGUAAAUACAGAAAAAUCUGUCCAACAAUAUUAAAGACACUGUAUCUGCAAUUACUCACUUUAUUAAGAAUUUCUCAUUAAUCAUGCUUGUUUUUUAUUGAUACAGUUUGCAGAAAACAUUCUUGAAGGAAAAAGCUGUGUAGAACAAUAUGGAGUUUUAGGUAUGUGUGUGAGAGUGAGUGUGAUACAGAUUAAAAUCUAGACAUAUUCUAUAUUUUUGUACAGAUCGCACUCAGAAGAGCUCCAGUUCCUGGGACCCAUUGACUGCAAAAGAUAAGGUGCAGUGCCAGAAGUGUAAGGCUUGCUACUACACAGAUGUUCGAAUACGGCAUGUGGCAUCUGUGCUGUAUGUGAAAGUAGGUAAUAUGUAGUGAGUACAUUACCUGUCAAAGGUAGCUUAACAAGUACAUUGGUAGGCCAUUUAGCUACAGAGUAUUUUUGUGAUAAUGAUAUUCUUGGUGACAAUAACCAAAAUGUUUAAUUUAAUUUAAAUAAUAACUUCUUAAAAAAAAAUGUUUUUUUUAUAGUAUAAGACACAGACACAGUUCUGGAAAAAAAAAUCAAGAUUGAUCACAAGCAAUCAAACCAAACUGAACUGCUUGAAUUUUUGCACCAGGAGUGGCCUAAAGUUAUCCAAAAGCAGUGUGUAAGACCGGUGGAGGAGAGCAUGAUGCCAAGAUGCAUGAAAACUGAUUAAAAACCAGGGUUAUUCCACCAAAUAGAUUUUUUUUAGGUCUAUAAGCUCUGCAUCUUUUUAUUUCAGCCAUUUCUUUUCUGCAGAUAAAUGCUCUAAAUGACUUUUUUUUUGUAAUUUGGGAGAAAUAUUGCCGUAGUUUCUAGAAUAAAACAUAUCUAUAAAAAGCAAAAUCAGAGAAACGGAUUCAGAAACUGAAGUGGUGUAUUAAUCAUUUCCAGAGCUCGCUCUGUGUGUGUGUCUCUUUCUCUCUACAUAAUUUGGAAUAUUAGACCAUGUUAGCCCUUAUAAAUCAGACCAUCCCUGUAUUAAUGGGUAAGAGUGAGAUGUUAGCCUAGUGCUUUGUUUUUUUAGUUGCAGUAUUAUUUUACCAAUGUCUAACUUUUUUCCCCAUGGUCAUUUAAAUGUGUGUAAUAAAAAAAAGGUGUCUUAUUCCAGUUUGUUCUUUUAAUAAAACGUUGCUUAAAGAA